This is a long non-coding RNA of Solanum pennellii, 446 nucleotides long. RefSeq lists it as uncharacterized. Lineage: Eukaryota; Viridiplantae; Streptophyta; Magnoliopsida; Solanales; Solanaceae. The record is from RefSeq and is a predicted model, not a curated record. The transcript has 2 exons.
UUGAAAUAAAUCAUUUUACUUUAUGUAAUUCGCUUUAGUGACCAUUUUAGUCGGCUUUAGUAUUUUCUGAAAAAAAAAUAGUUGAAACACUAAUUUUAAAAAGUAGACCAAAUUAAAACUCAACCACCCAAAAGAAAACCAAUCCAUUAUUAACAAAUAGAGUGACGAUAAAAAAAAAAAUCCAUUGAUGACUAUUCUGAACAUUUGUUCUUAUUUAUUUUUUCGUGCGGAUUAAUUAGAGGUUUCUUACUUCAUCAGAAUUGAUAAGGAGAUUAAUAGCCUGUUCGGCUUAUUUGAAACAUUUUUUGAUGGACAAUUAUACAAUGUAAUUUUUGUAAAAAAAUUAGGGCAUUAGUCCAAUUGUAUUAGUCUGUAAUAUUGGACUAGUAUAUCUGUAAUUUGAAGUAUAGUCCUAGUUAUUUUAUGAUUAACUAUUAAAACUUUGA